RNAcentral lists this long non-coding RNA (1025 nucleotides) under Marmota monax (woodchuck). Lineage: Eukaryota; Metazoa; Chordata; Mammalia; Rodentia; Sciuridae. The record is from RNAcentral.
CCUCAAUACCGCAUAAAAAUAAAUAAGUGAAAUAAAGAUAUCAUGUUCAACUACAACUAAAACUAAAUAUUAAAAAAAAUCCCACCAAAAUUUUUAUCAGGUGUUAUCAAGAAAUUGAACAAAAUGAAGAAAAAAACCCACAAGACAAUAGAAGCUGACUCACAGAAGACCUAGACAUAGAAGUUCUAAAAUGUGGGAUUAUAAAAACAUUAUGAUAAGGGUUUGGAAAUGUAGUUCAGUGGUUGAACACUUGCCUACCAUGCAUAAGGCUGUGAGUUCAAUCCCCAGUACUGCAAAAUAAAACAAGACCUCCCAAAAAAAUCACUGUGAUAAAUAUUACCAGGAAAACAAGUGACAAGGUAGAAAUAUUUCAUUGUAGGGCUGACAAUUAUUUCAAAGGAUCAAAAGAUCAGAUAGAAAUUCUAAAACUAAAGGGUAAUGAAGGGAAGGGAAGAGGGAUGAGAAUAGGAAAGACAGCAGAAAGAAUUGGUUAUAGCUUUCCUAUGCUCAUAUAUGAAUACAUGACCAGUGUAACUCCACAUCAUGAUAUUCAGCCACAAGGAUGGGAUCAAAAUUGUAAUAGGUUGCACCCCAUGUAUGUAUAAUAUGUCAGAAUUCACCCUACUGUCAUGUAUAUCUAAAAACAAAACAAAAAAUAAGGCUGAAUUGAAAUUUGAACUGAUAGGUUUAGCAACUGAUUGGACACAGCAGAUCAGAUGCAUGAAUUGGAAGUUAUUUCAUUAGAAAAUAUUCAGAUUACAGCACAAAAAUAAAAGAAAUGUGGGGUUGGGGAUGAUCCUUAAGCUGACUUCACUGCAAAACUUGGAGAAAAUGUAGAUGGACAUAAAUAUCAUAGUAAUUUGUGAAUGCUACAUACCCUGACCAUGUAGAAAUAAGAGAGCAAUGGCCAAUGGGAAGAGAAUGUUGAAAGAAGGUGGACUCCUGAGCAAGAUUCCUAGUUUCCUAAUAUUUAAUAGCAGGAAAUAGAUAUUUAAAGUUGACUAUUCAAACUACAGAGAUUGAAG